Molecule: ribosomal RNA, 468 nt
Filed under: uncultured bacterium
Lineage: Bacteria
Description: partial 16S ribosomal RNA
Rfam family: Bacterial small subunit ribosomal RNA
Source: RNAcentral
GACGAACGCUGGCGGCGUGCUUAACACAUGCAAGUCGAACGGAAAGGCCCUGCUUUUGUGGGGUGCUCGAGUGGCGAACGGGUGAGUAACACGUGAGUAACCUGCCCUUGACUUUGGGAUAACUUCAGGAAACUGGGGCUAAUACCGGAUAGGAGCUCCUGCUGCAUGGUGGGGGUUGGUAAGUUUCGGCGGUUGGGGAUGGACUCGCGGCUUAUCAGCUUGUUGGUGGGGUAGUGGCUUACCAAGGCUUUGACGGGUAGCCCGCCUGAGAGGGUGACCGGCCACAUUGGGACUGAGAUACGGCCCAGAAUCGUACGGGAGGCAGCAGUGGGGAAUAUUGCACAAUGGGCGGAAGCCUGAUGCAGCAACGCCGCGUGCGGGAUGACGGCCUUCGGGGUGUAAACCGCUUUCGCCUGUGACGAAGCGUGAGUGACGGUAAUGGGUAAAGAAGCACCGGCUAACUACGUG